This is a long non-coding RNA of Sinocyclocheilus rhinocerous, 330 nucleotides long. RefSeq lists it as uncharacterized. The transcript is spliced from 3 exons. The record is from RefSeq and is a predicted model, not a curated record. Lineage: Eukaryota; Metazoa; Chordata; Actinopteri; Cypriniformes; Cyprinidae.
CACUGAAGGUGGCGAUAAUGCACCUUAACGCUGGUGCUACCCACCAUAAAACAGAAGAAGAAGAAUCAAACAUCACUAUUCAAGAAUCACCUACGGGAAAUAGGAGGACUGGACUGGAAGGACGAAUUUAAUUAAGAUAUAGUAAGUUAAAGUGAGACAGCAGAUGGCAGUAAUGCAACACUAUGGAUGCCAACUGCCUUAAAACUCCAACGAAGAAGACGACAAACAUCACUAUUGUGAUGUACAUUUGUGUUAGGGACUGUUGACUGUGGAAUUGUUACACUGGAGAAAUGGAUGUGUCAAGUCUUUCCAAAGGGACAAAGAAAUAGA